Molecule: ribosomal RNA, 253 nt
Filed under: uncultured bacterium
Lineage: Bacteria
Description: partial 16S ribosomal RNA
Rfam family: Bacterial small subunit ribosomal RNA
Source: RNAcentral
UACGAAGGGCCCAAGCGUUAGUCGGAAUUACUGGGCGUAAAGCGUGCGUAGGCGGUUUCUUAAGUCCGUUGUGAAAGCCCUGGGCUCAACCUGGGAACUGCAGUGGAUACUGAGAGGCUAGAGUGUGUCAGAGGAUGGUGGAAUUCCCGGUGUAGCGGUGAAAUGCGUAGAGAUCGGGAGGAACAUCAGUGGCGAAGGCGGGCAUCUGGGACAACACUGACGCUGAGGCACGAAAGCGAGGGGAGCAAACAGG